This 497-nucleotide ribosomal RNA is filed under the name uncultured bacterium. RNAcentral's name for it is "partial 16S ribosomal RNA". It matches the Rfam family "Bacterial small subunit ribosomal RNA", at positions 28 to 507 of the family's 1533-position model. The record is from RNAcentral.
GAUGAACGCUGGCGGCGUGCCUAAUACAUGCCAGUCGAGCGAACGGACGCGGAGCCUGCUUCUCUGAUGUUAGCGGCGGACGGGUGAGUAACACGUGGAUAACCCACCUAUAAUACUGGGAUAACUUCGGGAAACAGGAGAUAAUACCCGAGGAUUUUGUGUACCGCACGGUUCAAAAGUUUAAGACGGGGUUGUGGUCACACAUUGAUGUAUCUGCGCUGCAUUAGCUAGUUGGUGAGGUAAAGGCUUACCAAGGCAACGAUGCAUAGCCGAGCUGAGAGGGUGAUCGGCCACACUGGAACUGAGACACGGUCCAGACUCCUACGGGAGGCAGCAGUAGGGAAUCUUCCGCAAUGGGCGAAAGCCUGACGGAGCAACGCCGCGUGAGUGAUGAAGGUCUUCGGAUCGUAAAGCUCUGUUAUUAGGGAAGAACGUAUGUGUAGGUAACUGUGCACAUCUUGACGGUACCUAAUCAGAAAGCCACGGCUAACUACGUG